CGAAAACUCACAAAUACUCCUUAGAAACAUCAGGUGGUGGCGGCGGAAGCGCGAAAACGGCGCAGCCCGGAGGUCGCCCCAGCCCCCCGCGCCAGCUCCCCGCCCCUCCCCCGCCGCCGGUCCUUUGGGGCAGCGCCGACGCCGGCCCGCCGGGCGCGCGGGAUGGAGGCCGGGCCCGCCGCCCCGCAGCCCCCCGGCCCCGCGCCGUCGGCGGCCGCCCGCGCACGAGGGGUCCCCGCGGCGGCAUUCCUCCCCGCGCGCUGUUUACGUGACUUAAUGCGCUUCACGGGCUGCGGCUCGUUAUCUGGGCCACCCAAUGACCGACGAAAGAUCUUCCCUCCCUGCUUCUCACAAGGCCGCUUUAAACCAAAUAAAUUUAGCUGUUAAGGGCCAAGAUGUCUGACAAAAGAUCGAAAGGUGUCUUUCCGUGGUCGCUUAAAGAAGCGAAGGAGAAACUUGUGGCUGCGGAAUCCCGAUAAAGACAUUCCUCCCCGGCGCCGGCCGCCUCCCCGCGGCCUGGCUGCGCCCUGACCCCCGAGACGGCCACUUCCGCGGCCCCCACCUCGGAGGGCCCGGCGGGACCUGGGGCCGCGGCACCGGGGAAGUGGCAGUCGCCAGGCUGCCCGGCCUGGGAGCGCCAGGCCCGGGGUGCGGGGAGCCGGGCAGCUCCAGGCCGGAGCUGGGCGCCCGAUGCAGCCCCCCUGCACUGCUCAGAAAAACGAAACAGUGGGGCCUAAAUCACCAUCCCAUUUGGAUUAUUUUCUGCGACGACUAGUACGACAAAGCCGACCCACCGCUCCCGCCCCGCCCCCGCUCCCCGCGGUCUUGCCGAGGGGCCGUGCUGCUCCACGUCCUGGUCAGCGGGAGCGGCCCUUCUUGGGAACCCCAGUUCGAACGCGGCCGCUGGAACUGAGGCCAAUGCGGAGGGUGUGGACUCGCAGGCUAACGGCGUGCAGGUAAUCCAGAUUUCUUUUCAUUGCGAGGGAUGUGUGAGAAUUGAUGCCCUAUUUGAAGAAAACCAGCCACUGUCCACACCGAGGGUCCUCCCUCCCUGGAAGCCCCCAAAUACAUAGGAAACAGGCUGAAAGCUCUCCAGCGAGUUGUGGCAGUUUUCCCUCUCCUGAGAAGUGCCAGAGAGUUCCGGUUGCUCCGUGUCCUCACCAACACUUGGCAUCAUCAGUCACUUUAAGUUUUGUCAUUCUGAAACACAAGCCAAACACACUUAAAGAUCAGCCGCCAAGAAGGACAAGUAAGUCCCCAGCUCUCCCUACUUCUGAUUCUCCAGUCAUCCAUCCCUGGAGAUUCCUUCUCAGCGAGGAUGCCGUAAUCUUCAUCUCAGUGAGAUGUGCCCCUCUUCUCUGGAACAUUCCAGGGUUCUUUUUUUCUUUGUAGCUAAGUACAGAAUGACAUCCAGGCAAUUCCACUUCCAUCACCAAGAGGCCCUGUAAAGAGAAAGGGGCUGUUUUCCUGCUCUUGACUUUCCUUCCCACUGAAGUGCCUG
Molecule: long non-coding RNA, 1501 nt
Filed under: Equus caballus (horse)
Lineage: Eukaryota; Metazoa; Chordata; Mammalia; Perissodactyla; Equidae
Description: lncRNA (ENSECAG00000049924.1)
Source: RNAcentral